The sequence is a regulatory RNA element, 27 nucleotides long. It matches the Rfam family "L25-Gammaproteobacteria ribosomal protein leader". The record is from Rfam.
CCUGCUGCUGGGUCCGCCUGUAGCAGG